Molecule: microRNA precursor, 102 nt
Filed under: Marmota monax (woodchuck)
Lineage: Eukaryota; Metazoa; Chordata; Mammalia; Rodentia; Sciuridae
Source: RNAcentral
AGCACAAUACUGGAUCAUAUGGUAAGAGUAUGUUUAGUUUUUUAAGAAACUGCCACAUUGCCUUCCAAAGUGACUGUACCAUUUUGCAUUCCCACCAGCAAU